Molecule: long non-coding RNA, 1597 nt
Filed under: Trifolium pratense (red clover)
Lineage: Eukaryota; Viridiplantae; Streptophyta; Magnoliopsida; Fabales; Fabaceae
Description: long non-coding RNA (TPRA_LNC012249)
Source: RNAcentral
CAUUGAUUGAUUCCAAAUUGAUAAGAACACUACAUAUAUAUAAGACUCUUAAUGGGCCUAGAGGAUAAAACCCAACUAAACAAAACCCAAUAGCAUAGAUGAUCAACUUAUAAUAUAAAUACUAUGUCUCAUUGAUAUCUAAAUUAUUUGACUAACUACCACUUAUAAUUAUUUAACUAAUUACUCCUUAAUCUUUUAUCAUUGCCACCGGGUUCACUUGAACCUUGUCCUCAAGGUUCAGCGGCAAGUCUGGAGGAAUUAAAUUGGAGUGUGACUCGGGACAUAUAAUUUUUUGUCAAAAAAAGUUUUGCCCAUAAAAACAUUGGGCUAGCUAAUGCUUUGCGGCCCAUAGUUGUUUUGGUGGAAACCAAUUGUUGCGUGUCACUUGAAUUUUGCCUUGCAAUUUUGUGAAUAAAGCUGGAAACCAAUUGUUGCAUGUGCCAACACGUGGAGUGCUUGUAGGAGUGUCAUCAUCAUUAUAGGGUGGAUUUGAAAUCACCAGCUGGUGAGUGGAAUUACCACUACGCAGUAGAAACAAAAACACAUUACGUGUUGUNNNNNNNNNNNNNNNNNNNNNNNNNNNNNNNNNNNNNNNNNNNNNNNNNNNNNNNNNNNNNNNCUAGAGGCGAGAUCACAAUCAAAGAGAUUGUGCUUUCCAUGGACGUCCAUGAUUCAUCUGUUGAAGAAAUAUUCCAAUCAGACGGUGAAAAACAAUUGCGAUUGUGACGAUGAAAUACGUGCUCUUGCAAAAUGGAAUACGAUGAUGGUGGUAGAAACUCAGUCAGUGAAUCUUCAUAUUUCGGCUUCGGCUGUGGCCGCGAAAGUGGGUUUGUGAACGGCGUCUCUGACGAAAGCGGUGGAGUCUGAACAAUGAGUAAGUUUGGUGGUAUUGGCGGCGGUAACGGAGUUGGGUUGGUGAACAACAACUCCCACGGUGGUGGUUUCGGUGGUGAUGGUGGCGAUGGGUUCAGUGGUGAUGAACGGAUGGUUGGUCCAAGAAACAUUUUUCUGUAGACCAUAUGUAGAUCCGGUGGUGCUAGAAUAAGAUACUGAGUUAUAACCAUAUCCGGUGGUUUUGGAGACGGCGGAUGUAACACCCCAAUCUUCUAUCAUUUAUAAUUAUUUGACUAACUACCACUUAUAAUUAUUUAACUAAUUACUCUCUAAUCUUCUAUCAUUGCCGCCGGGUUCACUUGAACCUUGUCCUCAAGGUUCUAAAAUUAGAGAUUAUGGUCAAGAUAGAGAUCGUCAUCAAGGCCCAUAAAUUGGCCCAUUGCCUUUGAAGCCCAAAUGUGGAAUUUAGAGAUUAUUGGUUUAUUUGGUGAAAGGAACACUUGGUAACUUGAACUUGAAUGAGAAAUAAAUAAGAGGACGUUUGGAAAGUGAAGGCCAUGUGACAUGUUUGCAGACUGAAGAAAACAAUAGGCGCGUGGAAGGGAAAAAUGGAGUAUUGUAGUGCCACGUGUCGAUGCUUGAUUGAGCAAUGGACAUCACACAGAUGGGGCUUUUGUGCAAUGGUUGUGAUUCAAUCAAAAAAUGAGAAUAAAGUGGAUCGGAUGGUGGGAGUGAAACAAUGGAUGAUGGGUGUCCAUGCACU